GAUGAACGCUGGCGGCGUGCUUAACACAUGCAAGUCGAGCGGAGAUAAAAUGAAAGCUUGCUUUUAAUUUAUCUUAGCGGCGGACGGGUGAGUAACGUGUGGGCAACCUGCCUCAUACAGAGGGAUAAUCAUGUGAAAACGUGACUAAUACCGCAUAAUGCAUCAAUUUCGCAUGUUAUUGAUGCCAAAGGAGCAAUCCGCCUUUAGAUGAGCUCGCGUCUGAUUAGCUAGUUGGCGGGGUAACGGCCUACCAAGGCGACGAUCAGUAGCCGGACUGAGAGGUUGAACGGCCACAUUGGGACUGAGACACGGCCCAG
This 317-nucleotide ribosomal RNA is filed under the name uncultured bacterium. RNAcentral describes it as "partial 16S ribosomal RNA". It matches the Rfam family "Bacterial small subunit ribosomal RNA", at positions 28 to 334 of the family's 1533-position model. The record is from RNAcentral.